GUGUUUGCUUCGGCUGCACAUGUACUAAAAUUGGAAUGAUACAGAGAUUAGCAUGGCCCCUGAGCAAGGAUGACAUACAAAUUCAUGAAGCCUUCCAUAUUUUU
This 104-nucleotide small nuclear RNA is filed under the name Vombatus ursinus (common wombat). The record is from RNAcentral. Lineage: Eukaryota; Metazoa; Chordata; Mammalia; Diprotodontia; Vombatidae.